Molecule: long non-coding RNA, 1186 nt
Organism: Scylla paramamosain (green mud crab)
Lineage: Eukaryota; Metazoa; Arthropoda; Malacostraca; Decapoda; Portunidae
Exons: 4
Source: RefSeq, a predicted model, not a curated record
GCACGAGGGAGACAGAGGAUGAAGUACAUGGAUGGAAUCAAGGAGGUGGUGGGAAGAGAGAAGAUGGAAGAAGUGGUGGAAUUGGGUGGGAAGAGAAGAGUGUGGCAUUCCAUUGUCGCCAGCGUCACCUGACACGGCACUGCGCUAAGUGCCCCCCACAUCAACUCAAAGAAAACGGAAUUGUUUCCAGUUUUCGUUUGCUGGAAGGGUGACUGCCUGCCUGACCCACUGACACACACACACACACACACACACACACACACACACACACACACACACACACACACACACACACACACACACACACACACACACACACACACACACACACACACACACACACACACACACACACACACACACACACUGACUCACCCGUGCCACAACGCCUCAUUGCCUGCUUGCUGGGCGGGGCAUCAGCUGUGCAUCGUAAACAAACCGGCGCUGCGAGAUCACCUUCAUGUAUCUCAGUCACUCUUUAAUCCUAAGCAGGUUCCUCACACUCUCCAGCUCGUGUUGGUGGUGUAAAUCAGGUUAUCUUUGCAAGGAGACGUGUUAAAAUAUGUACGAGUGAUCAUGUCCGGGAAAGUAAAUUUGUUAUCGUUGUGAGGGAGGAGUUUGAAUCUUUAUUGCCGGAGUAAAUCUGGUUUUUGUCAGAAGAGUUGGAAUCUGUACGAAUUUUUUGGGGUGUAAAUUAGUGAUUGGCCAAGAUUUACACAGGAUAGAGAUGAUUGGUUGAAAUUUACAGAAUGCAGAUAAUUGGCUAAGUUUUACAAAGAAUGGAGAUGAUUGGUUAAAAUUUACAGAAAUUGGAGAUGAUUGGUUAAAAUAGACAGAGAACAGAGAUGAUUAGUUAAAAUUUACAGAGAAUGGAGAUGAUUGGCUAAAAAUUUACAGAGAAUGGAGAUGAUUGGCUAAAAUUUACUGAGAAGAGAUGAUUAGUUAAAAUUUACGGAGAAUGGAGAUGACUGGUUAAAAUUUACAGAGAAUGGAGAUGAUUGGCUAAAAUUUACUGAGGAUGCAAUUGAUUGGCUAGGACUGAUGGAGGUGGAUGAAAUUCGGGAAUGUGAGAAGGAAAUAAGUAAGAAAAAUAAAAAUAAAAAACACGUCUUUUCACCUUAAUUAAGCAGUGCAUGUACUUAACAAUGAUGACACCAUACUUAUCACCAUAAAAAAGUAAAAAAAA